This 277-nucleotide ribosomal RNA is filed under the name uncultured Lachnospiraceae bacterium. Its description in RNAcentral is "partial 16S ribosomal RNA". It matches the Rfam family "Bacterial small subunit ribosomal RNA", at positions 67 to 339 of the family's 1533-position model. The record is from RNAcentral. Lineage: Bacteria; Bacillati; Bacillota; Clostridia; Lachnospirales; Lachnospiraceae.
AUAGAGACUUCGGUCAAUUGAAGCUUUGACUUAGUGGCGGACGGGUGAGUAACGCGUGAGCAACCUGCCUUGGAGUGGGGAAUAACAGUUGGAAACGGCUGCUAAUACCGCAUAAGCGCACGGUACCGCAUGGUACAGUGUGAAAAACUCCGGUGGUGUGAGAUGGACCCGCGUCUGAUUAGCUUGUUGGUGAGGUAACGGCCCACCAAGGCGACGAUCAGUAGCCGGCCUGAGAGGGUGAACGGCCACAUUGGGACUGAGACACGGCCCAAACUCC